This is a non-coding RNA of Bos taurus (domestic cattle), 74 nucleotides long. Lineage: Eukaryota; Metazoa; Chordata; Mammalia; Artiodactyla; Bovidae. The record is from Rfam.
UCCCUGGUGGUCCAGUGGCUAAGACUCCAUGCUUCCAAUGCAGGGGACCUGGGUUCCAAUCCCUGGUCAGGGAA